UUUUUGAGAAUUGUUGAUGUUAGCUUCUUCUCCCCAUGACUUUAGCCAUGUGAAAAUAAAUACUUCUGUGGGAUAGAGAUGAAUCUGGGGAAUCAGUUGUGAAAUCAACUUGAGAGGCAGAGGAGUUGAGAGCAAGUAUACAUUGAAAAACUGUAAGGCUGGACCAGAUGCCACGAGAUCAGAGAUGAGAAAUCAGGAGGGUCAGAGAUAAGAAAGGCUUGGAGAUGACCACAGAAAGCAGAAAGACUUGCUGCCAAACCCCGACUUCUCACCAAUUGUACUGAUGAAGCAAUGAAAAUCACCAUCUCUUCCACCUAUAGAAUGCAUAGUAUAUUUAUGGACACAUAGUGUAUGACGUGUAUAGAAAAAUAUCAUUCAGUCCUUGAAAUCAACAUGCAAGCUAUGCUUCAGUAUGAUCAUAUACACUUUUAAAUGAGCCAUAUUCUUCACAGCUAAUUGGUGGGGCCAGAGAAGUGCAUCAACAUGCUAUGGUACUUUGUCUUCUUCCCAGUUUGAGUCCUUACUGGGUAUUUAAGCUGACAAUGUGAAUGUGGCAAGUCUCCGGAUUUCAGCUGUGCUGGCAGCGGAGGCCACUCUGAGAGAUGGGCAAUAUGGCUUCUGUGUGUGCCCUUCAUCAGAGCAAGCAUUAAAGGAGAAGAGUGUGUGGUUUGCAACCUUCUGUACCUGGUGUGUAUUGCUUUCCUGCUGAGGUGUGUUGGGGCAGCGAGGUCUGAAUUUGGUGUAUUGUCAAGGUGGUGAAGUGUGAAUCUGGUGUCUUGUCAAGAAAAGAAAGAUAUUUUUGCAAAAUGUUUUCACAAAAUAAAGUCUUAGAUAAACUCAAACACAUAUUGCAGGUUUUUUUUUUCUCUCAAGUUUUUGAAUGGCAUCUUAAGGUCUUUAUUCCUAUUAGGAAUUUCACAUCUUAAAAUUUUUCACGCAGUGGCUUAAGGUAAAAAUUGAAGUCUCUGAAAUGAGAAAUCUUUGCAUUUAACAUUUUUGUUUUAGUAAGGAUUGGUUCAUUUGAAACAGGUGUUCCAAUUAUUUUGAGGUAUAAAUUAGAUUUUAUCUUAUUUUACUGAUGCAGUAGGCAUUGCUUUUAUAUUUUUAAACUAAUUCCCUGUUGAUCAACAUUGAAAUACUUGGUUCACCAACUGUGAUAUUAGGCAUCAAUGCAGCAUUAAUGAAUUAA
This 1189-nucleotide long non-coding RNA is filed under the name Homo sapiens (human). RNAcentral describes it as "HSALNT0081567". Lineage: Eukaryota; Metazoa; Chordata; Mammalia; Primates; Hominidae. The record is from RNAcentral.